RNAcentral lists this transfer RNA (72 nucleotides) under Camelus bactrianus (Bactrian camel). It matches the Rfam family "tRNA". Rfam says of the family: Transfer RNA (tRNA) molecules are approximately 80 nucleotides in length. RNAcentral also lists the same sequence under 2 other names. Lineage: Eukaryota; Metazoa; Chordata; Mammalia; Artiodactyla; Camelidae. The record is from Rfam by way of RNAcentral.
AAGGGUAUAGCUCAGUGGUAGAGCACAUGCUUAGCAUGCAUGAGGUCCUUGGUUCAAUCCCCAGUACCUCCU